GUGGGGAAUUUUGGACAAUGGGCGCAAGCCUGAUCCAGCCAUGCCGCGUGAGUGAAGAAGGCCUUCGGGUUGUAAAGCUCUUUCGGCCGGAACGAAAUCGCGCCCCCUAAUACGGGGUGUGGAUGACGGUACCGGAAGAAGAAGCACCGGCUAACUACGUGCCAGCAGCCGCGGUAAUACGUAGGGUGCGAGCGUUAAUCGGAAUUACUGGGCGUAAAGCGUGCGCAGGCGGCUCGCCAAGUCAGAUGUGAAAGCCCCGGGCUUAACCUGGGAAUUGCGUUUGAAACUGGCGGGCUGGAGUGUGGCAGAGGGAGGUGGAAUUCCACGUGUAGCAGUGAAAUGCGUAGAGAUGUGGAGGAACACCGAUGGCGAAGGCAGCCUCCUGGGCCAACACUGACGCUCAUGCACGAAAGCGUGGGGAGCAAACAGGAUUAGAAACCCGUGUAGUCC
RNAcentral lists this ribosomal RNA (450 nucleotides) under uncultured bacterium. RNAcentral describes it as "bacterial SSU rRNA". It matches the Rfam family "Bacterial small subunit ribosomal RNA", at positions 354 to 796 of the family's 1533-position model. The record is from RNAcentral.